This 92-nucleotide transfer RNA is filed under the name Nocardioides deserti. Its description in RNAcentral is "tRNA-Arg". Lineage: Bacteria; Bacillati; Actinomycetota; Actinomycetes; Propionibacteriales; Nocardioidaceae. The record is from RNAcentral.
CUGGGUGGUCGCGCGCGGCCGGGCGCUGGCCGGACCGGACGGCCGCGCCGAGCGCGUGCUCGGGGCGGCGUUCGACAACACCGCCGUGCAGG